ACGAACUAAAGCUUUUUUUUUUAAUUAGCUGCAUUUUUGGUCAUUGCACCCCUUCAUGUCUGUUAAGUGGACCAUGAAUCAAUUAUGAAUUGUAUUUAUGAUGAGAUUCACAUGUAAAAUAUGUAUGAUGAAAUUUACAUUUACAUGAUGAACUAGAUAUGGCAAAGUUUAUAUAUAUAUAGAAACCAAAAUCAUACAGGAACAGUACCCUUCUGAGUUGUGGUAAGCUUCAAUCCAAUGUCGCAUCUAUGACCUCCUUCAGUGUAUAAAUAUGUAAUUCAAUCCCUCAUUUACUGUAAAUGCACCAAAUGGGCAGCUCUGUGCUCCAAUUACAGCUUGGAGAUUCCAGUCUUUCUUGAUUUGUUUCCGAAGAUUUGGGUUCUGUCCUGAAUAGAUUUUGAUCAAGAAGAAAAUAAGCACUAUUGUUCAGGCACACUUUGACGCCCAGCCCUGAUUCAGAUGGACUGCCAAUGACAUCCAGUUCUCAAUUAAGCAUUUUGACUCAGCAAAUCUGAAGCUUUAGUUAGCCCAAACAGAUUCUGUCAAACUGGGCCUUUUUAGAAAACAAUAGAAAGACUUGGAUUGAGCUUGUGAAAGCUUGGAAAAGUGAUAUAAGUAGCAUUCACAACAAACUUCUUUGCAUCAAAAGCCCAAUUGUGCAUUCAGUUCGAGGGUCAGCACUCAGCCACCUGGUUCAAUUGUUUGCAUCUAAAUUAACCCAUUUCCCUUCAUAAGUUUGUGGAUUUAGUACCAAGGUUUCCUCACAAUUCCCAAACCAAGGACCACAACUAUUAGCCCCGGCCUAGACAGUUGUAAAAUUGCCUUGUAUAAACAACUACAAGGUCUUCAUGUGCCAGGAUUUAUUUUCAGGGGCUAUGUUCUAAUCUGAAACUAUGUGAAGAAUGGGG
RNAcentral lists this unclassified non-coding RNA (908 nucleotides) under Hevea brasiliensis (rubber tree). The record is from RNAcentral. Lineage: Eukaryota; Viridiplantae; Streptophyta; Magnoliopsida; Malpighiales; Euphorbiaceae.